CGGCGUCGAGCGGCGGACGGGUGAGUAAUGCCUAGGAAAUUGCCCUGAUGUGGGGGAUAACCAUUGGAAACGAUGGCUAAUACCGCAUGAUGCCUACGGGCCAAAGAGGGGGACCUUCGGGCCUCUCGCGUCAGGAUAUGCCUAGGUGGGAUUAGCUAGUUGGUGAGGUAAUGGCUCACCAAGGCGACGAUCCCUAGCUGGUCUGAGAGGAUGAUCAGCCACACUGGAACUGAGACACGGUCCAGACUCCUACGGGAGGCAGCAGUGGGGAAUAUUGCACAAUGGGCGCAAGCCUGAUGCAGCCAUGCCGCGUGUGUGAAGAAGGCCUUCGGGUUGUAAAGCACUUUCAGUCGUGAGGAAGGUAGUGUAGUUAAUAGCUGCAUUAUUUGACGUUAGCGACAGAAGAAGCACCGGCUAACUCCGUGCCAGCAGCCGCGGUAAUACGGAGGGUGCGAGCGUUAAUCGGAAUUACUGGGCGUAAAGCGCAUGCAGGUGGUUUGUUAAGUCAGAUGUGAAAGCCCGGGGCUCAACCUCGGAAUAGCAUUUGAAACUGGCAGACUAGAGUACUGUAGAGGGGGGUAGAAUUUCAGGUGUAGCGGUGAAAUGCGUAGAGAUCUGAAGGAAUACCGGUGGCGAAGGCGGCCCCCUNNACAGAUACUGACACUCAGAUGCGAAAGCGUGGGGAGCAAACAGGAUUAGAUACCCU
RNAcentral lists this ribosomal RNA (706 nucleotides) under Vibrio sp. MR08-83. Its description in RNAcentral is "bacterial SSU rRNA". It matches the Rfam family "Bacterial small subunit ribosomal RNA", at positions 86 to 788 of the family's 1533-position model. Lineage: Bacteria; Pseudomonadati; Pseudomonadota; Gammaproteobacteria; Vibrionales; Vibrionaceae. The record is from RNAcentral.